RNAcentral lists this ribosomal RNA (253 nucleotides) under uncultured bacterium. RNAcentral's name for it is "partial 16S ribosomal RNA". It matches the Rfam family "Bacterial small subunit ribosomal RNA", at positions 524 to 776 of the family's 1533-position model. The record is from RNAcentral.
UACGUAGGCAGCAAGCGUUGUUCGGAGUUACUGGGCGUAAAGGGUGCGUAGGCGGUCCUAUAAGUAUGGUGUGAAAUCUCCCGGCUUAACUGGGAGGGUGCGCUAUAGACUGUGGGACUAGAGUGUGGGAGAGGAAAGUGGAAUUCCUGGUGUAGCGGUGAAAUGCGUAGAUAUCAGGAGGAACACCUGUGGUGUAGACAGCUUACUGGACCAUUUCUGACGCUGAGACACGAAAGCGUGGGUAGCAAACAGG